CUACAUCGACGACCCCGCGAACCCGUCGUACGCGUUGAUGCUCCAGCUGAGAGAGGUUUUGGUCGAGAAGGCGCUGGAGGGAACAGAGGAAGGCAUGGCGGCGUUCAAGCGGAUCCCCAAGUUCCAGGAGGAGCUGGGUAGCGCACUGAAUGAGGAGAUCGCCAAGGCGAGGGAGAGGUUUGGGAGAGGAGACUUCAUUGUGGGGAGUAGGAUAAAGAAGUGCAGGACUUACCCGGUGUACAACUUCGUGAGGGAGGAGGUGGGCACGGAGCUGCUGACAGGGGAGAAGAAGGUGAGUCCCGGGGAGUACAUAGAGAAGGUUUAUGAGGCGAUGGAGGAAGGGAAGAUCGGAGAGGUGGUGGUGAAGUGCG
This 371-nucleotide long non-coding RNA is filed under the name Musa acuminata (dwarf banana). Its description in RNAcentral is "long non-coding RNA (MACU_LNC005165)". The record is from RNAcentral. Lineage: Eukaryota; Viridiplantae; Streptophyta; Magnoliopsida; Zingiberales; Musaceae.